This 563-nucleotide long non-coding RNA is filed under the name Ananas comosus (pineapple). Its description in RNAcentral is "long non-coding RNA (ACOM_LNC009158)". Lineage: Eukaryota; Viridiplantae; Streptophyta; Magnoliopsida; Poales; Bromeliaceae. The record is from RNAcentral.
AAAGAUUGUACAUGAAUAAAGAGAUGGCUGUUGGAUGUGGCCCACGUGAUAUAUUCAAGACGAUCCAUAAAGAUACGGUCAAUCUAUUUAAGUCGAUCUAUAAAGAUAUUUUAGAUCUUACGGUUAGGAUGUAUCUGGACACGUCCUUGAUGGACGGACGUGAUUUAACAUCCUUACAUUAAGUUAUAUAUAAAUAUGUAACAUACGGCAGUCCCGGUCUAACCCUAAUCCAAUUGUCUGUGACGGCUCCAUCUCCGGGGAUAAGGGAAUUAGACUCGAAACGUCCCGUCUUCUUGCAGAUCACGAACGAGGACGAACCACGAGCAAGGAUCGCCACUUACAAAUCGGGUACAGAAAUCGAAAUCAUGGCAAAAGGUACGAUCUAGUUUCUCAUAAAGUUUCUAACAUGUGGUAUCAGAGCCAAACCUUUUGCCGGAUUUUCGUUUCUUUCUGGAUUUCGUUUGGUUUUCUUUUCAUUAAAGAAAAGUAAAUAAAUAAAUUCGUCGAUGAUUUGUGUUAACGGUAAUGUCGGCCGAUCUCAAUCGAGAUCGACGUUCUGAGAA